GUCCUAUUGGCCAGACCAACGUCGCUCUAGAUGCCUCUCCCUGAUUGGUUAGUAAUGCUGUCGAUCACCAAUGUCUCGGACGCUUAUUGGUGGGCUCCGCCGUCGCUCGGGCGGUGGCGGGCUCCGGGAUUGGCGGGCGCUAGGCGGGCGGUGUCAGGCUCUCGGUGGCGGCGGAGGCGGCGGAGGCCAGGGAGGAAGAUGUCGUAAUGAGCGGCUGGCCUUGAACCCACUGUGUACCCUCAGUGUUCCUCCUGCCUGGGCCUCCGGAGCGCAGAGAUUACAGGUGUGUGCCAUCACACCCAGCUUGAGUCCGUAUUUGUGCUUUAUUCGGUGCAGCAUCUGAAGUGUUCCCGUGGCUGAGCCGACUGUGACUGUCUCCCUAGCCUGGCCUGCACCGGGGCUGCUGCUAGAGGCUGGAGAAAGCUGGCCACUGCCGGCCUGAGGAGCAGACCUCGGUAGGGAAUGCACUUGUUGGUUUUGCCCUUUGCUUUUGUUUUGAAUACUCAUUCAGCUCCUUGUGGGAUUUCUAGACCUGUUGUAGGAGAGAAAAAAGCUCUUUUUCUUUUCUUACUUUAUCAACCCAGGAUAUUAAGUCUGUUUCAGAAAUAAAAUGGAAACUUUCUCUUAAGAUGCUCAUCAUGACCAGCAGUUUUAAAUUUUUGUUUUUUCCAGUAUUGGGGACUGAACCCAGGGGCUUUGCACAGAGC
Molecule: long non-coding RNA, 707 nt
Filed under: Heterocephalus glaber (naked mole-rat)
Lineage: Eukaryota; Metazoa; Chordata; Mammalia; Rodentia; Bathyergidae
Description: lncRNA (ENSHGLG00100052372.1)
Source: RNAcentral